CUGAAAAUUAUUCUAAUUUCAACCCAUAAAUGUAUAUGUAAACAAUAAACCGGUCAAUAUAAACAAAACAACGAUACCAAGAUCGACGCUCGUGACACUUUUACUUCCAAUAUUCUCUAGUGAAAAACAGAUACCCGGAAUAAAUACACGGUGGAAUGAAAUUACGCUAACAUAUGCACCCUCUAUAUAAGUAAAACACUCCCCGCAAAAAUUCCAGUUUGAAAUUGUGCAUGUACGACAUGUAAGCCCGGAUCUGUAUUCUGCGUGUUAUUUUAUAUCAUGUAUCAUAAU
This 291-nucleotide long non-coding RNA is filed under the name Mytilus galloprovincialis (Mediterranean mussel). Lineage: Eukaryota; Metazoa; Mollusca; Bivalvia; Mytilida; Mytilidae. The record is from RNAcentral.